RNAcentral lists this ribosomal RNA (253 nucleotides) under uncultured bacterium. RNAcentral's name for it is "partial 16S ribosomal RNA". It matches the Rfam family "Bacterial small subunit ribosomal RNA", at positions 524 to 776 of the family's 1533-position model. The record is from RNAcentral.
UACGGAGGAUUCAAGCGUUAUCCGGAAUCAUUGGGUUUAAAGGGUCCGUAGGCGGUCUUAUAAGUCAGUGGUGAAAUCCUAUCGCUUAACGAUAGACGUGCCAUUGAUACUGUAGGACUUGAGUACAGAUGCCGUUGGCGGAAUGUGUCAUGUAGCGGUGAAAUGCAUAGAUAUGACACAGAACACCGAUUGCGAAGGCAGCUGACGAAACUGUAACUGACGCUGAUGCACGAAAGCGUGGGGAUCAAACAGG